Non-coding RNA from Phoenix dactylifera (date palm), 9663 nucleotides. Lineage: Eukaryota; Viridiplantae; Streptophyta; Magnoliopsida; Arecales; Arecaceae. The record is from RefSeq and is a predicted model, not a curated record.
UUUCCUCGAACCGGUUCUCAUAUUCGACCAUAUUCGAUCCACACUAUUAAGAUCUCGUCGGGUCGGGGAGAGCCGAAAAAACCCUACACGCCCAGCUUCCUCGAAGGCUCCAUCCAGCUCCUGCCUCUCUCUGCUCUAUCCGCUCCCCGUUCUGUAUCAGCGCUCCCACUUCUUUCUCCUCUGCUCUCCCGAGGUUUUUGUUAUUUGGAAUCAUGAGGACGCGAAAUACCGACAGUACCAGAUCUGGGGCGGCCAAGAAGACGCCUCCGGCCAAGAAGGAUGCUUCCGCCGAUAAAACACCGGAGACCGCUCCCAAAUCCACGCCCAAAUCGGGAGCCAAGUCCGCCAAAGGCGCCGGCAAGCAGUCCGCAGCCAAGGCUGCAGCUGCGGCGGCCACCGCCGCCGCCGCCGCUGCCGCUGCCGCUGCCGCCGCCGCCGCCGCUUCCUCUGCCCCUGCAGCAGCCACGUCCGAUGCUAAGACGGGACCCAAAGUUGAGGAAGUGGCGACGCCGGCCGAUGUGAAGAAGCCGGCUUCGGCCGUGAAAUCUCCUCCGGAGAAGAAGGCCGGUGGGAAGGCCAAGCUGCCGCUGGGUGGGAAGGCUGCUGCAGCUGCUGCUAAGGUGGAGGAAGCACCAUCAAAAGUUGAGGAUGCCGUGGAAGAGCCAGAACCACCAAAGGGGGAGGAAGCGAUGGAAGAGCCACAACCGAAAGCUGGAGACGAAGAUGCGCGUAAGGAGGAGGAGCCGAAAGUUGAUACCGUUCUGGAUAUUAACAAUGAGCUGGAGAGUGAUUCUGCAAAGAAUGAAGAAGAAGAAGAAGAGGAUGCGGAGGACCAGCAGAUGGAGGAGGGGGAGCCUGAGUCUUUCCAAGAGCCUGGUGAUGAGGAGCUUGUGGGUGGGGAGGAGGACGCAGCAGGGGGAGGAGAGGAGGCAGUGAUGGGGGGAGAAGAUGAAGGUGCCCCGGUGGAGGAAGAGGAGGAGUUUGAGAUUUCAGACAUGGCUAAGAAGAGGAAGAUGAAGAAAGAGCAGGAGAUCUUCGUUGGGGGUCUGGAUCGUGAUGCUGUGGAGGAUGAUCUGAAGAAGGCAUUUGAGAAGGUUGGGGAGGUUGUUGAGGUCCGGCUCCACAAAGAUUUUGCUACCAACAAGAACAAAGGCUUUGCAUUUGUGAAGUUUGCCAACAAGGAGCAGGCUGCCAAGGCGCUCUCGGAAUUGAAAAAUCCUGUUAUACGUGGCAAGCGCUGUGGCAUUGCACCAAGUGAGGACAAUGACACAUUAUUUUUAGGCAACAUCUGUAACACAUGGACAAAGGAAGCUAUUAGGAGAAAACUUAAGGAUUAUGGAGUUGAUGGAGUUGAGAGUAUCACUCUUGUUGCGGACACCCAAAAUGAAGGUCUGAGCCGGGGAUUUGCUUUCCUUGAGUUUUCUUGCCAUGCAGAGGCAAUGCUUGCCUACAAGAGGCUCCAAAAGCCAGAUGUUAUUUUUGGCCACCCUGAGAGGACUGCCAAAGUGGCUUUUGCUGAGCCAUUACGUGAACCAGAUCCAGAAGUUAUGGCCCAGGUUAAAUCGGUUUUUGUUGAUGGGCUGCCACCAUAUUGGGACGAGGAUCGUGUGAAAGAGCAAUUUAAAGGGUUUGGAGAGAUUGAGCGUGUUGUGCUAGCCCGGAAUAUGUCAACUGCCAAGAGGAAAGAUUUUGGAUUUGUAAACUUUACAACUCAUGAAGCUGCUGUUGCUUGUGUUGAAGGUGUGAAUAACAGUGAAUUGGGUGAUGGCAAGUCCAAGAUGAAAGCAAGAGCUAGACUUGCCAAUCCAUUACCCAAGACGCAGGCUGUAAAGGAUGGAAUGAGUGGUGGGUUUCGCAUUGGACACACUGGCAUGGGCGUUUAUUCUAGGUUUGGUAGGGGAUUUGGUAGGGGAAGAUAUUUUUCUCAUAGGGCAGGCUUUCAGGGUGGGAGGGGUUUUAAUUUUCGUGGAUAUGGAAGAGGUGGAAGAUUUUCUUUUCCAGCUGAGGACAAUCUAGAAAUCCCACCUUCUGAAUUCCAUGGUAGGAGGCCAUUUGGAUUCCGAGAGUUACAAGAGUUAAGGGAUUAUCAUGAUUUGCUACUAACAGGUGGUGGAAGAGUUUCGACAUCAGCAAGGCAUGGUGCUUUUGAUAGAGGUCGUGGAAGAGCCUUCCCAUCCAGGAGGCCGCCAUAUCUACCAGAGGAGGAGUUUGGUGGACCUUUUGGUUCUCGACACCUUGGUGAAGAUCCUUACUUUUAUGGAGAUGUUGGGCAUGGUAUCAAGCGUCCAUUUUCAAUGAUGGAGCACGAUCCUGGUUACUUGGAACCUGGGCCUAGAAUACGUCCUCGUUUUGAUCAUCCUGAUCCAUUGGCUGGUGGGAGUCGCUAUCGAGAUUCAUUGGGAUUGAGUGGUCUGUAUUCACAUGAUUAUUAUGGUUCAGAUUAUGGGGGUAGCACAUAUUCAUCUCUUUAUGGAGGUGAACGUUCAGGGGGCGGCUAUUAUUAUUAGAUGUAAUUUGCAAAUGCGGGUAUGAUGCUGCAGGCGGAAGCACUUUCUUGAUAAGAUGAUGAUCUCAGUUGUCCCUUUUAUUGUACAUUGAAUUGGUCGAUCUCUUAGAACUUUCUUGGCAACUAGGAUUCCAAGUAUAGUUUGGUCUAGUUUAUUUUCCUUGGAGAAACUAUUUAGGCUUAUGCCAUUUGUGUGUGAGAUAGUGCUGGAUAGCCUAUUUUAUGAUGAAACCAAUCGGAAGUAGAGUAUCUAUGUUUUAAUUAACUUCACUCAUCAAGUGUGAACUCUUGAAGUCAACUUGGAGAUAACAUCUAUGUUUGGAUUAAAGUAAUUUGCUCUUUGUUGGUGAUGAAUGUAUUUGAUCUGUUGGAAUGCUGAACAAAACAAAUGGGAAAACCAUUAAUUUUGGAUCUGCUGGUUGACUAAUCUGUUAAAGUUGGCAAAGUAUUUAGAGCCCAUGGAAUUCACAGGAUUAUACAAUCAGAGAUCUUCCUGAUUAUGAAAUGGCAUACUAAAAGUGUGCAUUUGAUUUUAUAGUACAAAAUAUUUGAUGAAACAAAACAUGAAGACUAUGACUGCAAUUCUUUUUGUGGUUUCCAAGUGGAGUGAGAGAGAGGAGUGGUUAAUAUUACUAUAUCAAUGAUUCCUAUUUGAUACAAGCAUUCUAGUAGAUGUUUAAGAGAUCACAUUUGGUAUUCUUUCCAUUGAAUACUUGUUUAUGUUGCUUUUGUAUGCAAGGGAUAGAAUUCAAGUUGUUAAAGUUGCUCUUGUGGUUCUAGAACUAUUUAAUCUCUUGUUAUCAGGGAUUUACUUUUUUUUUUCUUAGAAAAAGUGUAAUCGAUCUUGAUUAAAUUGGAGGGUCUCUGAAGUAGUGUCCGAUGCUUUUUCAAGAAAGCUGCUUAUGUUGUUGUUGUGAGGAAUCUUUUCUUUGCCAAACUAUAUUAUCAAGUUUCCCUUCUGAUGAAAAAGGCUCUAAUUAAGGUUCUUAUGAAGAUUUCUGAAUAUGUUUGUCACUGGUUGCAAUUGUAAGUUUUUUAGUGGAUUUGAUGAUAAUCCUCCUUUGCAGUUCCAUUGACAUUUCCUUUUGGUCUUCAGUUCUGUGCUCCAAAGAAUUGUAGCAUGAAGUACAAAAAUAAUAUGGAUAUUGCAGCAUGUAAUAUGGCCCAUCGUGUUUACGAGUUGUAUCAUCAUUGUUGAUUUGUAUAUGCUUCGGAAGCUUUGCUGUUGCUGUUGAUCCUUCUUAUGGGACCAUGAAUGUGGUAGUUUUCAGGGUGGAAUCUAAAUUCAUCCUUUUGUUUUCUUACGACUAUUUUAAUUUUUAACUGGACGCUGAAUGUGACUGGACGAAUUUAUUCUUCGUGCUCCAACUUGUCUGUUAUUGCCUUACAUUGUAGUGUUGUGGAGUGUCAUAUUAUGCUGCUUCUUGUCCGAGUUUCCUCUUUGACGUGGAACAGAUGAUAUCACAUGAAGUUGGAAGGUUUCGUUACUGUAAUUUUGGGCUUUGUAAGUCAGGAUGGUACUAAUCUGAUCAAUUUUGAAUCGUUAUGCUGAAAGAGAGAUGACGAGGAUCAUCACUAUUUCAGAAUUGUUAAAUGAUAUUAUACAAGAACUCCAUUAGGAAAUGUUGAUCUGCUUCAGCAUGUUGAGAUAUCUGAGUCAGAUUGCUCUUUCCAUGACAUGAUUGGGGAUAUGAUGGUGUUGAUAGAUGUGAUUUUCAAAUUGCAUCCUAUGUUGGUCUAGUUUUGUUUCUUCUGGCGAUAAUUUCAAGUGUCAUUUACCAUGGAUAACUAAAAUUUUGUAAUGCUUAGAUGCUGGUGAAACUGUUGGAGUUGUGCAUACUGAGCAAUGUUUGAAUGGAAGUGCAAAACAUUCUCAAAUAUACUACUAGGAUUUGCAGAUAGUUGGCUUGGUAUAUUAUGCAUUUACUUUUGAAACGUCUCAGAUAUUUACAUUUUUUUGUUCAAUCUUUAGACAGAGAGCUGUAUAAAAUUUUCUGCUAUCGAUAAUGAUAUAUGGAGCUUAUAUGAACUUUAUCAUGUGUUUCUGCCAUUCGUCAUCUGCUGUAAUAAGCAAUAUUAGUACACAGCUCAUGCAUAAGCAGGAAACUUUAGAACAAAGCUGUUAUUUGCUUGAUGCUUUGUGCUCCAUGAAGCAUUUAUGUUUCAUUUAGUUUUCAACUAUGGCAAUUAAGGAACUGAAGAUUAUCAAGACCUAUGCUAAGAUGAUGCUAAGAUUUAUAAUUAAUUGAGCUGGAGUCUUAAUGGUAAACACUACAUCUUGCAGAUGGCUUCCAUGUGGAUACUUUGAUUUGGUCUAAUGAUUAGUAACUUGUUGAAUAAUUCAUUUUGUCAUGCAAUUGGUUGUUUUAAAUGUUGGAGAGCUUAGCAUAUGUGGAGGUCAGCUUAGAGAUGAAGCUGAAUCUGAGCAGACCUGAUCAGGCUACUUAAGAAUCAGUUAAGUCAGAAGUACUUACAAGUUCAUUCUCUCAUUGUAAAGUCAGAGAUUGAAGUGGAGUUCACAUUACUGGAUCAGAUGUGGAUAUCCUAAAUUAAGACAGCAAUUUGAAGUUAUGUUACAUUUUUCUAUCAGGAAAGAAUAACUUCUCUGUAGACUGACUUUGUUAAUUCAAUUCAGAAAGUGAAGUUUAGAAGUUGUUAUUUAUAGCACGAGAAAACAGUGGAUAAUGAAAUCAACGAACUUAAAGGGGGACACUUUGUGGAAUUGUCACAUUUAGAAGGUACUGGUAGCUGCAGGUUGCAGCAUGUUUUUACUGAAUUGGUUGUCUGAGUGCUUCAUGGAUAAAAUGGUUUAAUGAAGAUGAUAUGGUUUGUUAAUGCACUGUUUGGUUGCUGAUAAAAUGAAUAAAAACAAAGAGUAAAUCAGCAGAAGGAAAAUUAGCAGUUUUCUCAUGUUUGGCUGAAUUAAGAAAAUAAUAAAGUCCCAGAGAAAGUGGUUAAAAUGGGGAUAAGUUAUCCUGAAUCACUUGUGUUCUUGUUGUUUUCUCUCAAAAUUGUUACAUUUUGGAGAAGAAAAAUUAUGGCCCUUCACUCUUUUUUUUUCUUUUUUAUUGUACUUGAAGUUUUCUUUUAAUACCAACUAGUGUAAAAGUUUUCUCUUUAACAAAAUUUGUUUUCUUUUACUUUCUUUUCCCCCGAACAGAGCCUAAAUUUAUUCUAUGCAAACCGGUCAUGUAUACAAUACUUUGUUCGCCUCUUUUGAUAUUGAACCCAUGUUUGUAUGUCAACAUGGUUGUGUAACUAAAUUUUGUGGUUAGCAUCUGAAAAAAAAGUGAAAAUUUUCUUAAGGCUCUAAGGUGCUUAGUUCGUAAUUAGUUGAUUGUGAUGGUAUAGCAUUCUCAAAAUAGAAUAAUAUAACAUAGAGUAUUUAUUCUAUUCAUUGUGUAUGUCAGACUGUCACUAACUGCAAUCAUGAAUUUUAGUUAUAUAGUAUCUAUGGUAUAUUUGUGCAAAUUGAUAUGUAUGUAGAUAGUUCAUAGUUAUUCAAAAACAUCCAUUCAUUCAUAUAACUGUUUGAUAUCUGAUGUUGCUGUGCAUCUUGAGGCUGUUAUAAUUAGUGUUCCUUGUUGACUUGGAUCACUUUCCUCUAAUUAUUGCUUUUGGAUCAUUGUCUCUCUAAAUAGUAUCCUUUCGUGACUUCAAAUUCAUUGUGUUUAAAUUCUAUAUGAUCUAGAUAGAAUUCUUGCUAAUACUUAGUGUUUUCGAGGACAACAUGCGUGAGCAAGGUUUUAAAUACUGGUGGGAUAGUGGGGUGUCCCACCGUCCUGAUUGUUGGGACAACACACUCUUGAAUGUCGAUAUGAGAUAAAUGGGGAAAUGGAUCGAGAUGGGAUGGGAUAUCCACUGUCCUAAGUGUUGGACACGAUUUGCCGGGGUUUUGGAUUGCUAGGUUUGAUAUUUUGAUUUAUAUUUCAAAGUUGUUCUCAUUGGGGAGGAGCGGAAUUAAAGGCACCUAAAUACUUUGUUUGCUUUCAUUUAAUUGAAAACAUUAAUUUCAAAAGGUAGAUACUUUUGGGGAGGCCUUAAGCCUCUCUCUCUCUCUCUCUGACUCCUUCCUUUUCUCUCUCUCUCUCUCUAUAUAUAUACACACAUGUUUCUCUCCCUCUAUGCACACAUAAACACACAUACAUACAUCAUAUAUAUUGUACAUACAUGCAUAUUUAUAUAUGGAACUAGGUAAUGGGAGAUCAGAGUUUGAAAUUGUUAAUCAUUUUCUAUUCUUUAUUAUUUGAUCACAAUAUUGUUGAUCAUUUUCUAUUCUGUAGAGUUUGAAAUUGUAGACUCAGAAAAGUUUGAAAAUCUUGACAUUUCUUUUCUUAUUAUGUUGAUGAAAAAGUUGCAUAUAGAUUGGUUAUAUAAGGGCUGAAUCUUAAAUAAAACAAAAUGCAAAUAAAACUUGCUAUAUCAUGUUUUAUUUCACCUCAUGAGGUGGAUAUAGCAGAUUUUAGUCCAUGUGCGGGACAAUGAAUUAUUGCAAUUGUCAGUGAAAAAGAAUUGGAGCAGCCUUCAAAAUUAUGAAUAUUUUUGCAUAGAACUAGGAAAUGGAAGAUACUAGAGUUUGAAAUUGUUUGUUAUUUAGUAUUCUGUUAGUAUUUGAUCAAACUAUAGAUUCAGAAAAGUUUGAAAAUCAAGAUUUUUGUUUUUCUUAUUAUGUUGAGUAAAAAGUUGCAUAUAGAUUUAUAACGUAAGGGCUGAAUCGCAAGUUAAAAAAUGCAAAAUUAACUGGCUAUCUCAUGUUUUAUUUCACCUCAUGAGGUAGAUAUAGCUGAUUUUAAUCCUAUGUAGGGGACAAUUUAUUGUUGUGAUUGACAGUGAACAAGAACCAGAGCAGCCUUUGAAUUGAGUAUUUUCAAUGAUUUUGGAAUUUUUUAGAGGAUUUUUUUAAUUUGACAUUUUUUGAGCUCACUGUAGGCAGUGGACUGGAUCCUUGUGUAUAACUGUUCUGUAUGAAAGCUGAUGUUAAUGCAGUGGAAUAAUGUCAUGAUAUUAUUGGAGAAAUACUGGGGUUGAAUAACUUAGUUUUCUUAUUCUAUCAUUUGAAUGGGGGUGCUUUAUGUGGUACGGAAAAAUGUGAUGGAGGGAGUUGAACAGGUGCUUUAUGGUUGCCUUUUAGCAUAAAAUUUAUAAGAUUGCAGGGCUGCUUUUAUUUAUUGUUUAGACUGUAUUAUAAAGCAGUCCUAGCCCAUGUAGCAAGCAUGAUUGAGAUGAUAAGAGGCAGAUCUCUGGUAUGACCAGAUAUGUUUCUGGCUGCACUGAUUGAGGAUGAAGUUUUGGAGAACCAAGAUGGUGCUACUGUGUUAGUGAAGAUUUGAUGAGAUCUGGCCCCCUACAAGGAGGACAUGAGGGGAGCGAAGACCCAAUCUAACAUGGAUAGGAGUUGUGAGGAAAGAUAACAGUUGUAGUAGAUACAUCCCAUUCCAAUAGUAAUGAAUUCCUGGAUAAGAGCAAGAUGGAUGCUUCUUGGCUUUGAUUAUGGUUUUAGAUUUGUGAUGAAUUUUAUGAUGAGAAGUUUCUUCCUGUCUAAUUACCUGUUUGGCUGUAACCCAAUUUGGCUGCAUCCUUAUAUGUGUUGGCUGAACAAACUUAUUGUAGCUAUUUCAAAGGAAAUACUUGGUUGUGAUUAUGUGAUCAUGUUUAGGCCAUGUUGCUCCAUGUGCCAGUCAAACAUUUUUUUUUUGGAGUGGAAAAUUCAUGUAGUUGUUUCUGUUUCUGCAUUUUUAACCUUUUAAUGUGUUAGGAAUUUUUAGAUUAUUUGAUUACUCAAUAUAAUGCUGACAAGCAUGUUUCACCCAAUUUGUGUUCACUGUUAGCUGAGGGUUUAGCAAUUAUACAUGCUACUGACUUGUUUGGAUGCCUGCAUAUGUUGUUCGUGGAAUAUCCCUACACCAAUGGAUAGUGAGGAGGAUGUGAAAGCAUGGUGGGGAUCACACGAUCAAAUUAUACGAAUGCUGGAUUCCCUUUAAUGGUGGUUUUUCUGGCUCCCAAACUUUAGGUUUGGGUGCUUCUAGCCCCUUGGGGCUGUGUUGAUUGCCUCCUGCCUCUGUGCUUCUCCUUGCUUGCUUCCCAUGGAAACAGGAUGCUAGCAUCCAAACAGAGCCUAGAGAAAUCUAGGAUUCGUUUUUAAUAAUAGAGCAGCUCCUUGUCGCAUAUGUUGUUCGUACAGGAUCCCUACAACAAUGAAGUGUUGUGGAGGAGAAGGGGGAAGUGAAUAAUAUGGUGCUAUGGGGAUGGGGAAAUUAUUGCAUGCACUGCAUGCACGGCCAUGCUGGUGCACAUCACCAAUCACUGCAUGCUCACACAUGGUUUGCAUUCAUCGCGCACUCAUCUCGGGGAGCCUGACAGCAAUACAACGUGGCGAUCGAUGGCGUGCACCAGCAUGGCCGUGCAUGCAGUGCAUGCAAUAAUUUUCGAUGGAGAUGGGUGGUAUUACCCAAUCAUGAAAUCAUAGAGAUACUGGGUUCCUCUUAAAAGGUGAUUUCCGGCAUUACCAGAAAAAGGUAAUAUCUGGCAUUCCCUUUCCCUCCAGGUCAGACUGAUUGCUUUCCCUGCCUCUAUGCUUCUCACUUUUCUCGAUGCAGGGCAUGUCUGGAUGAUUGCAUCCAAAUGGCCCCCAAAGGAUGGAGUGCAUAUGAAAAUGCAGAGCAGAUCCUUGUCAAGCACCACUGCUUUGUUGCAUUUCAAAGUUUUUGUUGAUUCAUGGCGUGCAUAUAUCUCUUGGAAGCUUUAACCACGUCUCCUGGAACCCCAACUUGGCACAUUCAUAAGCUUGAGCACUGUUUAGUUCCAACUUGUACUUGGAGUGGUACUAUGCAACUUCCAUGAGUCCCAUAGAGCCAUUGAAUAUGGUAACGGUUAGUUGAUGCUUCACAUUUGAGUGGCGCAUGCAACUCCUCUGUUAAAACACAAAGCUUUUGUAUUUAACUACAAAGUUAUAAUGUAUGCAUAGAAGAAGGAUAGUAGCCAGUGAACUUCAAUGUUCUAAAGACAUGUUAGUCAAGUAGACUUUGCAAUUCUCAUAAAUCAUUUUUGAAGACAAGCGUCAAACGUAGUGCUAGCCUGCUCAAGCUCCUGUUGAUUGAAACCCAGUUUUCUUGCAUAAUGUAAUAUAUUGGAUCGUUGAAGAUGUUUGUCAUCUUUGG